UACGUAGGGGGCAAGCGUUGUCCGGAAUCAUUGGGCGUAAAGAGCGUGUAGGCGGCCCGGUAAGUCCGCUGUGAAAGUCGGGGGCUCAACCCUCGAAUGCCGGUGGAUACUGUCGGGCUAGAGUGCGGAAGAGGCGAGUGGAAUUCCUGGUGUAGCGGUGAAAUGCGCAGAUAUCAGGAGGAACACCGAUUGCGAAGGCAGCUCGCUGGGACGUAACUGACGCUGAGACGCGAAAGCAUGGGGAGCAAACAGG
Molecule: ribosomal RNA, 253 nt
Filed under: uncultured bacterium
Lineage: Bacteria
Description: partial 16S ribosomal RNA
Rfam family: Bacterial small subunit ribosomal RNA
Source: RNAcentral